This 233-nucleotide long non-coding RNA is filed under the name Elaeis guineensis (African oil palm). RNAcentral's name for it is "long non-coding RNA (EGUI_LNC057876)". Lineage: Eukaryota; Viridiplantae; Streptophyta; Magnoliopsida; Arecales; Arecaceae. The record is from RNAcentral.
CAGGUGGGAGACUCGGGUAAGCCCGCAGUCGAAAAAGGGCCGAGAGAAGCUCGACCACGCUCUCGAUCCCCUCCUGGGCACAAGCGUGUCCAAACUCCACCUCGGGUACGUAGGCAGAGAAGUCCGGAUCGUGGGGUUCGGCAGAGUUCUCCAUCGAGAAGAUUCUGCAACUACGCCCCCCUCAAUGCCUCAAAGAUCCAAGUGCUGAUGGAGGUCAGGGAGCAGCUCUCCAG